RNAcentral lists this long non-coding RNA (485 nucleotides) under Trifolium pratense (red clover). RNAcentral describes it as "long non-coding RNA (TPRA_LNC009030)". The record is from RNAcentral. Lineage: Eukaryota; Viridiplantae; Streptophyta; Magnoliopsida; Fabales; Fabaceae.
UUACUCUCUGCCCAUUACUAGUAGCAAGGUUGCGGAGGAAGCGUGGGAAAGAGUGGCGUAAGAUAGCUCACAUUCCCUCCAUAAUUAUUGAUGGUGAAUUGAUCACAUAAGUAUCCUGUCCGGGUUUGUCUCUGAAAUACUUCUUUUCUGUUUCUUCCUUAUUAUGUCAUCAUUAACUAUUAUUGUUAAUUUCAUCAGCAACAUCAAAAUACAAUAUUAUAACACUAACACUAACCGUUUUUUUUUAAUUGCAGAGUUAUAUUCUGUGUCACACCUGCUUCUGCCCAACCUUGCUAUUGUGAGAAGCUAAAAUCGCAUGCACCACCUGCAACCCAGUUGAUGUUUUACCUAUGCGGAACAGAUGAAAAGGAGAAACAACAAGUGACUUCAAAUAUAUUAGGUAGUCUUUUCGUAUAUAUCAUUGUAUAUAUUUUAAUGAGUUGGUUUUAAUGCAUUGGUUUGGUUGUAUCAAUUUUUGUGACAUG